GACGAACGCUGGCGGCUUGCUUAACACAUGCAAGUCGAGCGGUAAGGCCCUUUCGGGGGUACACGAGCGGCGAACGGGUGAGUAACACGUGGGUGACCUGCCCUCAGCUCUGGGAUAAGCCUGGGAAACCGGGUCUAAUACCGGAUAUGACUCCAUGACGCAUGUUGUGGGGUGGAAAGCCUUGUGCGGCUGAGGAUGGGCCCGCGGCCUAUCAGCUUGUUGGUGGGGUGAUGGCCUACCAAGGCGACGACGGGUAGCCGGCCUGAGAGGGCGACCGGCCACACUGGGACUGAGACACGGCCCAGACUCCUACGGGAGGCAGCAGUGGGGAAUCUUGCGCAAUGGGCGAAAGCCUGACGCAGCGACGCCGCGUGAGGGAUGAC
Molecule: ribosomal RNA, 383 nt
Filed under: uncultured bacterium
Lineage: Bacteria
Description: bacterial SSU rRNA
Rfam family: Bacterial small subunit ribosomal RNA
Source: RNAcentral